GCUCAACUCAAACAGUCCUGUGACUCCUCACUAGGACUACCCUGACCAAGGUUUUGCUAAAUUGAAACACGACUGUACAUAGCUCCUGAACUGGAGUGGUCAAUCCCAUCUUAAUACACACACCGACAAGUCAAGUACUUGACUACACCCAGCAUCCUUCCGUCACUGAAUUAGAAAUUCAGGUAGUCCAGUGCCUAAGUAUAGUAAGUUGCUUGCAAGUCACCAUGGCGG
RNAcentral lists this long non-coding RNA (231 nucleotides) under Elaeis guineensis (African oil palm). RNAcentral describes it as "long non-coding RNA (EGUI_LNC082345)". The record is from RNAcentral. Lineage: Eukaryota; Viridiplantae; Streptophyta; Magnoliopsida; Arecales; Arecaceae.